Molecule: unclassified non-coding RNA, 337 nt
Filed under: soil metagenome
Description: partial contains 5.8S ribosomal RNA, internal transcribed spacer 2, and large subunit ribosomal RNA
Rfam family: 5.8S ribosomal RNA (bases 1-120)
Source: RNAcentral
GAUGAAGAACGUAGCGAAAUGCGAUAAGUAGUGUGAAUUGCAGAAUACAGUGAAUCAUCGAAUCUUUGAACGCACAUUGCGCCCCUUGGUAUUCCAUGGGGCAUGCCUGUUCGAGCGUCAUUUGUACCUUCAAGCUCUGCUUGGUGUUGGGUGUUUGUCUCGCCUCUGCGUGUAGACUCGCCUCAAAACAAUUGGCAGCCGGCGUAUUGAUUUCGGAGCGCAGUACAUCUCGCGCUUUGCACUCAUAACGACGACGUCCAAAAGUACAUUUUUACACUCUUGACCUCGGAUCAGGUAGGGAUACCCGCUGAACUUAAGCAUAUCAAUAAGCGGAGGA